Caenorhabditis elegans is the source of this 21-nucleotide non-coding RNA. NCBI's taxonomy places the organism in Eukaryota, Metazoa, Nematoda, Chromadorea, Rhabditida, Rhabditidae. The record is from Ensembl.
UAAUCUGAGUCAACCAUGCUG